This 24-nucleotide non-coding RNA is filed under the name Cricetulus griseus (Chinese hamster). The record is from RNAcentral. Lineage: Eukaryota; Metazoa; Chordata; Mammalia; Rodentia; Cricetidae.
AUGGAAUUUUGACUUGGGAAGAUU